RNAcentral lists this ribosomal RNA (698 nucleotides) under uncultured Spiroplasma sp. RNAcentral's name for it is "bacterial SSU rRNA". It matches the Rfam family "Bacterial small subunit ribosomal RNA", at positions 9 to 706 of the family's 1533-position model. The record is from RNAcentral. Lineage: Bacteria; Bacillati; Mycoplasmatota; Mollicutes; Entomoplasmatales; Spiroplasmataceae.
GAGUUUGAUCCUGGCUCAGGAUUAACGCUGGCGGCAUGCCUAAUACAUGCAAGUCGAACGGAGUAGCAAUACUUAGUGGCGAACGGGUGAGUAACACGUAUCUAAUCUACCAUUUAGUGGGGAAUAACUGUUGGAAACGACAGCUAAUACCGCAUAAUAUUGCUGGAUAAUUUCCAGUAAUGAAAGGAGCUUUCAAGCUCCGCUGAUUGAUGAGGAUGCGGCGCAUUAGCUAGUUGGUAGGGUAAUGGCCUACCAAGGCAAUGAUGCGUAGCCGAUCUGAGAGGAUGAACGGCCACAUUGGGACUGAGACACGGCCCAAACUUCUACGGAAGGCAGCAGUAGGGAAUUUUUCACAAUGGGCGAAAGCCUGAUGGAGCAAUGCCGCGUGACUGAUGAAGGUCUUCGGAUUGUAAAGGUCUGUUGUAAGGGAAGAAAUGGUAAAACAGGAAAUGGUUUUAUCUAUGACGGUACCUUACCAGAAAGCCACGGCUACCUAUGUGCCAGCAGCCGCGGUAAUACAUAGGUGGCAAGCGUUAUCCGGAUUUAUUGGGCGUAAAGGGUGCGUAGACGGUUUUGCAAGUCUGAGGUUAAAUUUAGGAGCUCAACUCCUAAUCGCCUUGGAAACUACAAGACUAGAGUAUAGGAGAGGUUAGUGGAAUUCCAUGUGUAGCGGUGGAAUGUGUAGAUAUAUGGAGGAC